This 87-nucleotide transfer RNA is filed under the name Actinobaculum massiliense. RNAcentral's name for it is "tRNA-Ser". It matches the Rfam family "tRNA". Rfam says of the family: Transfer RNA (tRNA) molecules are approximately 80 nucleotides in length. Their secondary structure includes four short double-helical elements and three loops (D, anti-codon, and T loops). Further hydrogen bonds mediate the characteristic L-shaped molecular structure. tRNAs have two regions of fundamental functional importance: the anti-codon, which is responsible for specific mRNA codon recognition, and the 3' end, to which the tRNAs corresponding amino acid is attached (by aminoacyl-tRNA synthetases). tRNAs cope with the degeneracy of the genetic code in two manners: having more than one tRNA (with a specific anti-codon) for a particular amino acid; and 'wobble' base-pairing, i.e. permitting non-standard base-pairing at the 3rd anti-codon position. RNAcentral also lists the same sequence under 1 other name. The record is from RNAcentral. Lineage: Bacteria; Bacillati; Actinomycetota; Actinomycetes; Actinomycetales; Actinomycetaceae.
GGAGACGUGGGUGAGAGGCCGAAACCGCUUCCCUGCUAAGGAAGUAGUCGCAAUCGCGGCUCGAGGGUUCGAAUCCCUCCGUCUCCG